This 1173-nucleotide ribosomal RNA is filed under the name Triticum aestivum (bread wheat). RNAcentral describes it as "partial small subunit ribosomal RNA". Lineage: Eukaryota; Viridiplantae; Streptophyta; Magnoliopsida; Poales; Poaceae. The record is from RNAcentral.
AUGGGAGAGAAUUCCGAGAGUAUUCAGGCGUCGCUGGCCGCCCUUCUCACCAAGAUUGAAGCCAUGGAUAUGAGGAUUUCCAAUUUUGGCAAACAGCUCGAGGCAACACAGGAGAACGUGGACACGAUUCGUCACCGGCAGGCGGAGGCGGGGGCUACACCGGCAGGGUCGGGAGUCACGGAGCAGGGCACGUUAUCGGCCACCCGCCCCGCUCCGCGGCUUGCGAAUCUGCAGCCGCCCCUCCUCGAGGAGCCGGAUGGACAGCCGGCGGGUCAGGUUUUCACCACGGCGCCCCCAUCACCUGUGGAGCCUAUGCUUGGGCGGGCACCACCACCGGAACCACGCCACGAUCCCAGGCCGGCGCGUGAACACGUUCCAGACCACCGUCGUGUGUUGGCACAGGAUAGAGACCGUGUCCAGUUCAUCAAGCCACCCAAGCACCAUUUUCCACGGUUCACAGGUGAGAAUCCACGACUUUGGAUUGACAUGGCUCUCACCUACUUUGACAUGUACCAAGUGCCUGUGCAUCAAUGGGUUUCUACGGCGACACUGUACCUGGAUGGACAUGCGGCACUUUGGUGGCAAGCAUUCAAGCAUCGUCGGCGUUUUUGGCCGUGGGAUGACUUUGCAGUUGAGAUUGAGUCAGAAUUUGGGCAAGGCGAGUUUGAAUCUCAUAUGACUCAUCUCUUACAAUUGAAGCAACAGGGCACUGUGACUGAGUACAAGUCCGCAUUCGAGACAGCGAUGUAUCAUUUGAUAGCAUUAGACCCUUCCUUGAACUCCAAGUUUUUUAUAUCCCAGUUUGUACUUGGACUGAAGGAUGAGAUCAGAGCAGCGGUACGUUUGCAGGCACCCACCAGUGUUACUCGAGCAGUUUGUUUGGCCAAAAUUCAGGAAGAAGAGCUAGAGAUACAGCGGCCUCGACAACGUUUUCAGAGACAGGCACCAAUACAGACCAUGCCUACUGCAAUCCAACCAGUUCAGCAAGCAGGGAAGAAAGCAGCUGAUGAUUUUGGUCGUGAGAGGCAGCUACGAGAUUUCAGAAAAGCAAAUGGACUAUGCUUCAGAUGUGGAGAUAAGUACAGCAAGGAACAUCAAUGUAAGAAGCCUCUGCAGCUACUUACUAUACAAGUUGGUGAACAUGGGGAAGUGUAUUCUAUUGCAGUGCAGUAA